Onychostruthus taczanowskii (white-rumped snowfinch) is the source of this 2225-nucleotide long non-coding RNA. RefSeq lists it as uncharacterized. The record is from RefSeq and is a predicted model, not a curated record. Lineage: Eukaryota; Metazoa; Chordata; Aves; Passeriformes; Passeridae. The transcript is spliced from 2 exons.
CCAUUCCAGGAUUCCACGAACCAGUCCCUGCCUACAGUCCCCACCAAACACCCCAGGACAUUUUACAUGUGUCCCAGGCUGCUGGCUGAGCUCAGAGCAAAGCCAGGGCAGGGAUCAGAGCUGCUGGGGUUAUUCAAACACAGGAGAGCCUCAGCCAAGGAUCCAGUCACCUCCCGUCACCCACUGUGUACACAGGGCUUUGGAAACCACGUUUCCUUGUUGCCACAGGUCAAAGACUCCACGGGAGGCUUUCCCCGAAACUCUGCUCUUCCAGCUGCAAAACCAAGGAGGGCUGAAGCCCCCCCACAGCAGGGACCCCCAAGGAAAGCCCCUUUCCAGGCUCCUGGAUUGCCACUGCUGCUGCAGGGCCAACCUGGGCGAGUGUGAGAGCUGCUGUCACCAGGGGGAAUGUGAAAUGCCAUUUUCAGCCAGAUUGCUGCACUGCUUGGGAACAAUGCAGAGAGAAGUGAGUGGACCUGGGUAACUCAGGUGUUUGGAUUCUUCCUUCAGGGAUGGGCUGUUUUUCCCAAGGUGCUAACAGAGAGUCUCCCUUUCAAGUGACAUUGUCUGCACAGGACACUUCCCUCCAGGUUUCCACAUCAGCUCACAGAAGGACUAUGGAAACAACACAUCUAAGGCAUCUUUAGGCAGUUAAACACCACACAGAAAAUCAAUUUGUACCCCAACACCUGCCAAAUUCCACUGUGAAGACACAAACCUGAUAUAACCAAAGGGUGUACACAGCUAACAUCAUCAGACAUUCAGUUCAGAAUUCACAAAUGAAACACCUCUGCCUUCAAUUUAGGCACUCCAGAAACAAACAGCCACUGGUCCCACUGGUGGGAAACACUUCCAAAAUCUGCACGUGCAUGCUUCCUACUCAACUUGGUGAUAACUCCUCUUGAAGGCCCCAAAACUGCACAAUCAGACCAGCAACCAAUACUAAUUACUAAAUUACUAAUUAUUAAAAACACGAGUUGCUGGAGCAGGAGCCACUGUGUGCCCGCUGACUUUUUAACUAUGACGUUGACUAUUUUUAACUUUGAGAAUUGAAAUAAACCUUCCCAACGAACUCCAAAGGCAAGGAAUGUCAUGUGAUCCCAGCAAGGAUCUGCCAAGCAGUGCCAAAAUACACCCCAGCCACAGCAGCAAACCCAUGUGGCCUCCCAGGGCCAGGGUAUGCCAUGGGAAGGGACAACAUUAACUGUCACACAGUGCCCCAAAAAUCCAGCAAAAUGUCAACUUGAGGCCCUUGAGAGGUUUUAGGAAAUAAUUUUCUUGACACUUAGUUGUCACAAAGGUAUUUUUUUUUUCACUUUAAGUUUCCCAAGCCUUGCAUAAGAGAGUGUUUUUGCAUGUUGUAGUCUGAGGUGCAAUUUGUGGGUGAUGUUUCAACACAGAUGAGGAAGCACAUGGGGGUGAACUUACACCCAGCACUAAGAUCUACACUGACACUCCACGUUCUCUGAGCUGCAUUUCCAGUGAUUUAAGGGAUUUGUAGGAAACACAAAAGUCAGAUCCAGUUCAAACCCCUCAAAAUAUUUUUCUUUUUUAUCCAGAUGUGUGUAUCUGCAUGUGUUACACCAGUGGGUGCUGCAAGAAAGCUGAGACAGGAAUUACCCUUAAUUUUCAGAGCCAGUCACCAAGAAGGUGAGAAGCUGCUGACCUGAACUCUUCAUCUGCAAAACAAGAUGUUCAGGAGAGGGCAAACGAAGAAGCCCUGGGAUGGAAAGAUUUUGGGUACCAGGCCUGUCCCGUGGCACAGACUGCCCGGAAAAGGCAAAGACACAUCCCCCUUUCAUGAUGUCACAGCAGCUCUACCUCGGUCAGGAGGUGCUCUGCGAGGAAGGGCUGGAGUCAGCUUUGCCGAGGGGGGGGAAGGACAGCUUUGUCGGGUGAGAAAAGAGACCCCACCCACGAGCGCGAUGGUUUCUGAGGCACAUCCAUAGCGGUGCAAACACGGCCGGGGGGAUCCCACCGCGCUGCCGCCGCCCGCGGCCACGGGGAUUAACGCUGAUGGAAGGGGCCAGGGAAGAAAACUUUCUUGCAAGAGCCAGGCUGUGGCACCAGCACUGAAGGCACUGGAAACGCUGCAAAUGCCCCGUCACAGGUUUUGCACAGACCCAGUUCUCCUCUCACGUUGAAUCCUGAGCUGCCCAAUGGUGUGAUCCAGCACACUGCCAACUGCAAUUUGCUGUCAUAAUUACAUAUUCUGCUGUCUGUAA